GCCUGCUUCUCGCCCCACGCCCACCCCACCCGCCAAACAAACCCUAGCGCCCUUUCUCCUUCCCCUCCAUCCCGACGAGCCGCCACACCCCUCCCUCCCUCAUCCUCUCCUCACCUGCAGCCGCCGGCCUUGUCUCUCCACUCGCCUCCUCUCCUCUACCACGUCGUCAUCGAUCCACCGCCGGCCUUCUCCUCUGCUUACCUCCUCCUGUUCUCUUCCAUGUCGCCGUCGAUCCAGAUCGGCCGUAUCGUCAUGGGGGAGCAGCGCCGGCAGGGUCUUCGCGGUGCGGAUGGGGGGUAGAUGUGACAACAAGGGGAAGGAGGAGGCCGGUGAGGAAGGCAAGCAAUAGCGGGUGGGGCUAAGGGGCAGGGUGAGGCCUCGCGCACCUGCUGGCGGCCGACGGAUUGACUUGUCGCGCCACCACGUCGUCGCCUCCUCUGCGCCAUGAGGUGCCACCUCUGCCUCCACCCCCCACCGGGAAAGGAGCUCGAGGUGAACAGGCAGUGUGGGAAGGCGAGAGGAAGCAUGAGCUCAUCUCUCCUCCAAUGGAUGUCUCGUGCAUCUGGAGUACAAGGAGAACAACACGUGCCUGUUGGAGGUGGCUCGAGCGAUGCAGGCCAGUGGCGAACUAGAUCUGACAUAGAAGACCACAUUCCUCAGGGAUCCCAAAAUAUAUUAGACAAUAUGGUAGUCCAAUGCUGUUUUGAAGUAUAUAUUGGCACUAUGCUGAAAAAGGACAUGACAGGAAGUGAAGACGGCCAGUCAUCGCGCCAUAUUCCCGUGAGCUCCAUUCAUAUUACUAUAUGCUUAAAACGUCGUGCUCUCCUUAUCUACAUCAUGUGGUAGUUUGCUAUCAAACUCUCGAAAAGGCAAAACAACUUUACUCUGUUUUUUGGAGAACCUUCCUAUAGAGUAACUCGACAGAAACAAAUAUGCGAUCAAGGAUAUAUUCGACAGAUUUUCACGCAAAACAUGGAGAAUAUUUUUUUGCAGGUUCGUUGCUUGCUUUAUUGUUUUCUUACUUUUCGUUCUUCAAGACAAUAUCUUCCUAGCAUUACUCUAUAAAUUUAAAUCCAUCUUUUUGUUCUUUGGAUUAUCAUGGCGUACUCGUCCUGUCUAAUCCAAGAAAGGGCCUUCAUGUUUGCAGAUAGUUUGGUGCUCUCAUGGUUAUUUUGUAGUGAUUUUCCUCCUGUUCAUUACUUGGUAACCAUCUACUGCAGCUCAGCUAUUGUCCAGUUGCUGACCUUAUGAUGAGUGAUUGAUGGUGCAUGUUUUCCUAUUAGUUUCUUUCUAUGCCAAUGUCUGAAUUUUAUCUUGCCGUUUUGCAUUUCUCCAGGCCUUUCAUUCUCACUGUGAUUUCCCGAGUUGCGCUAUUAGUAGGCAUCCAUUUUCUAAUAAAAAUUUGGCAGUCAACUUGAACGAGUCAUUUAUCUAGCUACAGCAACCUUCCUUGCUUUUGUAGUCAACUUGAACUAGUCUAUACCUGCCAAAUAUUUACACUUUAGUAUAGCCACAAAGUCAGAUGAUCGUCCCAUGUUGGUUAGCCGUGAUAAAUCAAAUUUCUAGAGUAGCAGAUGAUUUGUGUCAGGUUUCUUUUAGAGAUUGAAAUAUGUCUUGACUCUAAAAUAAGUAGUACAUCGUCCAGUUCUGCAUAGGUGAAAGCAUAAUAUCUAAAACUGGACGGCCUUCUAAAGCUUUGAAACUACUAUUUGUUGUGUAAUCUGUAUCCCCUUUUCAUACUCUAUAUAUGAUUUCUACAUACUAGGAAAAAAUGCGUGAGAACGAUGGCAUAGAGGAUGCGAAUUGCACUCAAAUAUAUGCAGGUUUCUUGCCAAACUAACUGCCACUAUUUUAUUUCAGGUGCUUCUUCUGUAACUUGGUGUAUUUUGCUGGCUCUUCUCAUUUCCUGGCGAACUUUUUAGUCUGUACAGUCGAAUCGUUGGAAGUUGUUUUCUAUUAUCUAUAGAGGUUUUAUCCAAACUAUUAGCUGCCUGACUUGCUUUUUUGAAAUACACCGUCCUGAUAGACCAAGUGGACCCACAAAUUUCCAUGGGAUUUUAGAAAAAUAUAUGUGAAUUUGCAUACAUUUUAUAAAUUUCUAUCUUUUCUUAUCCAUGCUUCCGCAUAGAUAUAUAGCAGGCUUAACAAAAAUGAAUGUCUGAUUGUGUUCAAAUUUCAAGGAAGUGUGCUUCAUGCUUCUCUUUCUGCAAUAUGUUUCAGAGUAUAUGACUUAAUUUUCCUACUUUCCCAGUUACAAUAAUGUACUUCAUUCUUAGCUUUGCUUUGGGAAAAAUAGGUAUGCAGGUUAUCGAAAGCUCCAUUUUUCUCCAUUAUAUAGAUCAUAUAGCUUUGUGAUCGAAGUAAACCUGAGAAUGGUUUGGAUUGGAACCGCAGUUUCAAUUUGGUUUCUCUAUCGGACGGUCUUUGGAUGGGUUUAAAUGGGCUGAGCCUCUAAUAUAAUCUGGUUUGGUUUGGGCUUUAGGUAUAAUGGAUUAAUCUGGUUCAAUUUGGACACGUAUAAAUCGGUCUCAAACAGUUUCAACUCGGAGAUAGAGACCGGUCUGUCGACCAAAACUGUACGAGACGAACGCCUCCAGCCUCGACGGUCAUUGCCAUGCCAUGCGGGGGCCGCCGGGCCGUCGGCCGUCGCCGCCACCGGCUGGAGCUCCGACUGCCAGCUUAUCUUUCCUCCAGUUUUCUGACCCUUGAAGCUGCCUGAUUUAAUUUUCCUCUAACGUCCCAAGGCUCUAGUCGUCGCCGCCGCCAUCGAGCUCGAGUCUGUCUCCGUCGCCGAGUCGCCGCCGUUGGUUUCGACUUUAGAGUCAUCUCCAUCGCUGCGGGUUUCCGUCUCCUCGUCGAGGUCCAGAGCUCCGCCUACAGGUCCUACCUCCCCGGUGUUUCCUUCACCGCUUCCUGUAGAAAGAUUGCUAGAUGGCUAGAUGCAAUUCAGGCACCUGCGUAUAUGGACUUGUCCACGGUUUCAAUAUAUGGAUUCAGUCCAAAAAUGGCACCGGUUUUGGAUUGGGUUGGGUAAGAAACAACUACAGAUUGGUUUGGUUUGGAUUCAAUAAGAAUUUUGUUGGAUCGGGUUGGUUUGGAUGCUGCCUGUGUAGUCACCUGGUUUGGGCUGGCUUUAGUCUGGAUGAUAAACUAUUCACAGGCUUAGAUCGAAGGUAGGUUGUCACAUAUGGGAUGUUGCUUGUGAAAGUUAUAUACAACCAUGAGUCCCUGACAGAAUAAUCGCAGCUCAUGUUACUAGGAUCAAGGAACCUCGGCCAUUUUUCUGAAACAUGUCGCAGCUCAUGGUCCUACUUUCCCAUCUACACUACUAUGUACUUCAUUCUUACCUUUGCUUUUGGAAGUUACAUUGCUUUCUUUUCCCUCAUAAACUUGCUAACGAUAUUGGCGAAGUAAUCCCCACUUCAGAUUUCCCAUUGAAUAAAUAACCAAUUUAGUUUGUUCAAAAAUUAUAGGUCAAGAUCCAUAAAUAGGAGCAAGGCAUCACACCAGCUCUUAGAAGAAAAGGAUAUGAAGACAAUGAACUAGAAAUCCGGAAUAAUAGGACAAGAGAAAUCUCACCAGUUGAGUAUGCGUCUCUCGCCCAAAUGAGGAGCUGAGGAAGAAACGGGGAUAAAUAAGCAUGAUGGAUGCUGGCGCGACUCCGAACGGGCCACACAAAGAAUUGUUUCUGGACCGAGCUAGGUACACACAAAGAGGGAGAAUUCCGGUAGCUGGAAAUCUGGACCUGAAAAAGC
Triticum dicoccoides is the source of this 3755-nucleotide RNA transcript. RefSeq lists it as uncharacterized. The record is from RefSeq and is a predicted model, not a curated record. The transcript is spliced from 6 exons. Lineage: Eukaryota; Viridiplantae; Streptophyta; Magnoliopsida; Poales; Poaceae.